CUGUGGUUCAGGUUAAACUAUUGUUCUACUGUUCCUGCUCAGCCUCCUAAUGUUCUAUGUCUUGAUGCGCCUUCUUCCAGCUUCUCUAUUGGUUUUCUCUUCACACUGAUGUUUGAAUUGAUGGCUAGAAAUACAGAGUGCCAUUUUGUCUUAUGGAGUGAUAAUUAAGAAGACAUACAUAGCUGCAAAGGGAUUGCUCAAAUGAAACAAGUUGCUAAUUUUGUAUCUUUGACACUCAUGGAAAAGGAAAAUUCCUAGGGAUUUGAUUGAUGGAGGCAUCGCUAUUUGGCGCUGGAUUAUUGAUGUCUACUACACAA
Aegilops tauschii subsp. strangulata is the source of this 317-nucleotide long non-coding RNA. RefSeq lists it as uncharacterized. The record is from RefSeq and is a predicted model, not a curated record. Lineage: Eukaryota; Viridiplantae; Streptophyta; Magnoliopsida; Poales; Poaceae.